UACGUAGGGUGCAAGCGUUUAUCGGAAUUACUGGGCGUAAAGCGUGCGCAGGCGGUUGUGCAAGACAGAUGUGAAAUCCCCGGGCUUAACCUGGGAACUGCGUUUCUAACUGGCAGGCUUGAGUGUGGCAGAGGGGGGUGGAAUUCCACGUGUAGCAGUGAAAUGCGUAGAGAUGCGGAGGAACACCGAUGGCGAAGGCAGCCCCCUGGGCUGACACUGACGCCUCAGGCACGAAAGCGUGGGGGAGCAAACAGG
RNAcentral lists this ribosomal RNA (255 nucleotides) under uncultured bacterium. Its description in RNAcentral is "partial 16S ribosomal RNA". It matches the Rfam family "Bacterial small subunit ribosomal RNA", at positions 524 to 776 of the family's 1533-position model. The record is from RNAcentral.